This is a long non-coding RNA of Bos taurus (domestic cattle), 997 nucleotides long. Lineage: Eukaryota; Metazoa; Chordata; Mammalia; Artiodactyla; Bovidae. The record is from Ensembl.
GUGUUGUUAGCAUCUGGGCCGCAGGCUGGCAGUUCAGGUGAAUAGGCCGCGGCUGCCCUGUGCCGGGCUGCCUGUGAUCAAAACCAAAGUGGCCGCCAGGGUGCUCUCAGGUGAAGACAAUGUCAGACUCAAUUGGGGCCUCACCUGGCAAGGUGACCCCUGGAGCCGGCGCACGUUGGGGCCACGGGAGCUCUGAAAUGCAAGUAGAGUGGGAGGCUGGAAUAGCCCAGCCUUUUCCACAGACCGCCUGGCACUCUGAAUCUGGGGCAGAUGCAGGCCCUGAGGCCUGGCCCACUGAGGCAAAGGCCCUGGGCCCCGGGAUCUGCAUUUUUAUGUAGCUUCCCAGAAGGUGACGCCCCAGUGUGGAGCAGGAGGGACAGGCCAGAACAAGCAGACAUAUGGCGCCGGGCACAGGAUGCAGAGCGGAGGACCAGCAUGGUGCCCGUGGAGGGAGGCCCUCCCCGGAGACAGCAGACCUUGCCUGAUCAGAGAGAAGAGGCAGCUGUCCUUGAUACAACCGACAGAAGUUGCACUUAAAUGGACUCUGAGUCUGGAAACUUCAGAGGUCACACUACUUCUUCCUUUUCUGGAUGGUGGGCAGAAGGUGCUGCCCCGCACCCACCGAGCAUCCUCUGGUGCCCACCGUCGCACCGCAGCCCUGACUGGCCUGUCCUACGCUCUUGCCAGGUCUUUGCUGGUCUCCUAACCCUCAGUCUCCUCUUCUGCCAGUCCAUCCUCCAAACAGCUGCUGGUGAUUUAAUAAAAAGUAAAAAUCAAUAAGCUCUGACGACGUCACUCUCCUGCUCCCAGCCCUUCCCUGGCAGCCCACAGGAGGGGCAGAGAGUCCGAGGAUGGCACAGCAGGCCCCUUGCACCAUCCAUCACACCGUCUGGAGCCAGCUCCUCCCCAGUAUGCGGGCCAGCCCGUGCCUUCUGUCUCGGCACACGCUGGUUCCUCAGCCCGUGGAGACUUGUCCCUCCUCGUCACCUUGGGUGAA